Molecule: long non-coding RNA, 1132 nt
Filed under: Chloebia gouldiae (Gouldian finch)
Lineage: Eukaryota; Metazoa; Chordata; Aves; Passeriformes; Passeridae
Description: Erythrura gouldiae (Gouldian finch) lncRNA (ENSEGOG00005010838.1)
Source: RNAcentral
GGAAGGGGGGGCUGGCUGGGGACCUUUGGGGACAGGUGGUGCUGAUGUCCCCCGCUGUCCCCUGAUGUCCCUGGGUGUCCCCGCAGGCGCCCGAGGCCGAUUACCUGGAGGCCUGCGUGGUGUCGGUGCUGCAGAUCCACGUCACCCAACCGCCCGGGGACAUCCUGGUGUUCCUCACCGGCCAGGAGGAGAUCGAGGCCUGCGUGGAGCUGCUGCAGGAGCGCUGUCGCCGCCUGGGCUCGCGCCUGCCCGAGCUGCUGGUGCUGCCCAUCUACGCCAACCUGCCCUCGGAGCUGCAGGCCCGCAUCUUCCAGCCCACGCCCCCCGGCGCCAGGAAGGUGGUGGUGGCCACCAACAUCGCCGAGACGUCGGUGACGAUCGACGGCAUCGUCUACGUGCUGGACCCCGGCUUCUGCAAGCAGAAGAGCUACAGCGCCCGCACGGGCAUGGAGUCCCUGGUGGUGACACCCUGCUCGCGGGUACGGCCACCUGGGGGUCACCUGGGGGUCACCUGUGUGCCACCCGUGUCACCUGUGUCACCUGUGUGUCACCCGUGUCACCUGUGUGCCACCAACCUGCCACUGCCCGCACGGGCAUGGAGUCCCUGGUGGUGACACCCUGCUCGCGGGUACGGCCACCUGGGGGUCACCUGGGUGUCACCUGUGUCACCUGUGUGCCACCCGUGUCACCUGUGUGCCACCUGUGUCACCUGUGUGCCACCUGUGCCACCUGUGUCACCUGUGUGCCACCCGUGUCACCUGUGUCACCUGUGUGCCACCCGUGUCACCUGGGUGUCACCCGUGUGUCACCGACCCGCCACUGCCCGCACGGGCAUGGAGUCCCUGGUGGUGACACCCUGCUCGCGGGUACGGCCACCCGGGGGUCACCUGGGUGUCACCCGUGUCACCUGUGUGUCACCCGUGUGCCACCUGUGUCACCUGUGUGUCACCUGACUAUCAUUUAUUGUCACACCCCCCUAUUUUUACCCGUCCCUGCUGUGUCCCCAUCACGUUCCAGUCAGGUGCCGGGCAUCACCGGUGUCACACGGGUGUUGUUGGUAUCCCAGUGAAAUGUCGCUGCUGUCACUGGUGUCACACGGGUGUCACACUGGUGUCACACGGGUGUCACACUG